CCUGGCCUUGACAUACUAAGAACUUUCCAGAGAUGGAUUGGUGCCUUCGGGAACUUAGAUACAGGUGCUGCAUGGCUGUCGUCAGCUCGUGUCGUGAGAUGUUGGGUUAAGUCCGCAACGAGCGCAACCCUUUCCUAUUUGCCAGCGGGUAAUGCCGGGAACUUUAAGGAUACUGCCAGUGACAAACUGGAGGAAGGCGGGGACGACGUCAAGUCAUCAUGGCCCUUACGGCCAGGGCUACACACGUGCUACAAUGGUCGGUACAAAGGGUUGCUACCUCGCGAGAGGAUGCUAAUCUCAAAAAGCCGAUCGUAGUCCGGAUCGCAGUCUGCAACUCGACUGCGUGAAGUCGGAAUCGCUAGUAAUCGCGGAUCAGAAUGCCGCGGUGAAUACGUUCCCGGGCCUUGUACACACCGCCCGUCACACCAUGGGAGUUUGUUGCACCAGAAGUAGGUAGUCUAACCGCAAGGAGGACGCUUACCACGGUGUGGCCGAUGACUGGGGUGAAGUCGUAACAAGGUAGGCGUAGAUGA
Molecule: ribosomal RNA, 533 nt
Filed under: uncultured bacterium
Lineage: Bacteria
Description: bacterial SSU rRNA
Rfam family: Bacterial small subunit ribosomal RNA
Source: RNAcentral